AACUUUCAGCAAUGGCUCACUUGGCUCUCGCAUCGAUGAAGAACGCAGCGAAAUGCGAUACGUAAUGUGAAUUGCAGAAUUCAGUGAAUCAUCGAAUCUUUGAACGCACCUUGCGCACCUUGGCAUUCCGAGGGGCACACCCGUUUGAGUGUCGUGAAAUUCUCAAACCUUCUUGGUUUCUUGAUCAAGAUGGCUUUGGACUUUGGAGGCAUUUUGCUGGCUUUGCGAAAAGCCAGCUCCUCUUAAAUACAUUAGUGGGAUCCCCGUUGCCGAUCCCCAGGCGUGAUAAGAUAUUUCUACGUCUUGGGAUUUGCUCUGUUCCUUGGGAACCCGCUUCCAACCGUCUCAUGGGAGACAUCGUUCGAGUUUGCUCGACCCACGAACCUUGACCUCAAAUCGGGUGAGACUACCCGCUGAACUUAAGCAUAUCAAUAAGCGGAGGCU
This 444-nucleotide unclassified non-coding RNA is filed under the name uncultured Russula. Its description in RNAcentral is "sequence contains ITS2". The stretch from base 1 to 154 matches the Rfam family "5.8S ribosomal RNA". The record is from RNAcentral. Lineage: Eukaryota; Fungi; Basidiomycota; Agaricomycetes; Russulales; Russulaceae.